This 308-nucleotide unclassified non-coding RNA is filed under the name Hevea brasiliensis (rubber tree). The record is from RNAcentral. Lineage: Eukaryota; Viridiplantae; Streptophyta; Magnoliopsida; Malpighiales; Euphorbiaceae.
AAAAGACCACCACAUCACAUCAGUAACAUUCUAAACUAAGUUGCAGGAAUAAAUGGUUAUAUUCUUUCUCUAGCAGACCAUAGGUACAAACUCCGAAAAAUAACCUCAAAAUUUCAGUUUUCCACACAUGCACACUAGGCAAAAUAAUCACUGACAAUUAGGUGAUUUUUUAUUGUGAAUGGAAAUGAAAUGUAAAAGCUUAAUUGAUUUUAGUCAUUUUCAGUUUCAAUUCAUUAGUUAAUAGAGUUGUUAGUGACAGUUAUAACUGCCAUUAGAUUCUGUAGCUGAGCUGCAAGAUGAAACUCAAU